CCCCCCCCGCCCGCGGCCUUGUUCCCGCCUCCCCGCGCGCGCCGGGGAGGGGGUGGGGCUGGGGCCGCGCCGCCCUGCCGCAGCCGCAGCGGUGGGCGCGAGCGCAGCCGUUGUUUGCGGCCGUUGCCCAGCGGGGGCCGUCGCGGCCUCCCGGGGCGCUGACGGGGUUCAGACAGCGCCUGCUGCAGCAGUUGGCGCUGGCCUGCCGGCCGGGCGUGGGCGCCACGCUGUUCACGUAGAAGCCCCGGUAACAGAGGGUCACCGAGACCCAUGAGAGCCGCCGACACUCGGCCUCAGGCGUCUUAUUUUAGCUCUGAGGAGCUCGCCCCCGGCUCUGGUACAGAUACGUUUUGGCAGGGUGCCGUGUGGAGGGUGGUCAUUUUGAAGCCCAGAGUGGGCAGAAAAUUCGAGAGCUGUCUGAAGAAGUUCUGUUCGUUGGAGGAUGUUUGCUGAGCUUGGUUGUGGUAAAGGAAAUUACCCUAAACAAUAAAAUAACAUAGGCGAAAAUUUAUGAAGCAAAACAGCUUGGAAAAGACAGCAGCAACAUUCAGUUCCAGAAGAGAAAUAGCUGAGGGACAGGCUAUUAAAACAUAUUUCCCAAAAGCUGAAGGCCAGGAAUUGUGCAAGAUGUAUCAGUACAAAUACAUCAAAAGCUUCUUACAAUGCAUUGAAUAAAGCUGCUUGCCAUUUA
This is a long non-coding RNA of Dromaius novaehollandiae (emu), 691 nucleotides long. RefSeq lists it as uncharacterized. The record is from RefSeq and is a predicted model, not a curated record. NCBI's taxonomy places the organism in Eukaryota, Metazoa, Chordata, Aves, Casuariiformes, Dromaiidae. The transcript has 2 exons.